CCCACAGACUGUAAAUAUUACUGGACGAACCCUGACCCGUCUGUUACAUAGGCAGCAAAUGAGUCCAAUCGAGGGCCGCAUCCAUAUUGGAUUUGCAGUCUCAACCUAACUUCGGCUCAAUCUAGACACAGCAGUAAGGCGGGGCCGGCGGGACUUAACUCCGCCCAUUCAGUUCGACGUUCCAUUUCACAUCAAAGCAUAGCUAACAGCUAGGCUGCUAUCAUCCCCUAUUCCUGCUGGUCCUGAGAAAACUCUAUAAACAACACAGUGUGGAUUAUUGGUGACUUGUCCGUCGAGGUGCCCAGAGAGCUGCAGAGACAGAGGAAGAAACCUGAGCCUCAACAACAUCUGUAUGUGUUGGUUCUUCUGGGGUGGACUUCGGUUGCUUCUCUUCAACAGCUCGCUGUGAGGGAGGUCUCCCCCGGAUGGCCUGAGUGAUGUCACCCACAGGCUGAGAGCUGAGGCUGAGGCGGGUUUUAAGCCUCUUGACAAACCGUUACACCGCGCCCACCUGUCAAGCUGGUCAGCUACACGCCUUAUUGUGAAUAACUCUUAUCCUUCAUCAAAUCAAACGACCCCCGUACAGUGUGUCGAUCGAGACAUGAGCUAAUCAGACCUAUUUGUCUGUUUUGUACCAAGCUGUGAACAUUUUAAUCUCUGCUGUAAAAACAGGCUUUUUGAAUGUGGUUUUUCAGAUUAAAUAAAUAUUUCUAUAUAAAUGCA
This is a long non-coding RNA of Labrus mixtus (cuckoo wrasse), 723 nucleotides long. RefSeq lists it as uncharacterized. Lineage: Eukaryota; Metazoa; Chordata; Actinopteri; Labriformes; Labridae. The record is from RefSeq and is a predicted model, not a curated record. The transcript is spliced from 2 exons.